GUUAAAGGACCACUAUAGGCACCCAGCCCAGUGGUCUGGGUGCCAGGUCCAUCUAGGAUUAACCCUUUCUGCUGUAAACAUAGAAGUUUCAGAGAAUCCAGGUUAAUCCAGCCUCUAGUGGCUGUCUCAUUGACAGCCGCUAGAGGCGCUUCCGCGCUUCUCACAGUGAUUUUCACAGUGAGAAGACACCAGCGUCCAUAGGAAAGCAUUGAGAAUGCUUUCCUAUGAGACUGGCUGAAUGUGCGCACGGCUCUUGCCGCGCAUGCACAUUCAGCCGAUGACGGGAAAGGAGGCGGAGAGUCUCCACCGCCGAUGUAGCCCAGCGGUGGAGAAAAGGUAUGUGUUUAACCCCU
This is a non-coding RNA of Pelobates cultripes (western spadefoot toad), 353 nucleotides long. The record is from the annotation of a GenBank genome assembly. Lineage: Eukaryota; Metazoa; Chordata; Amphibia; Anura; Pelobatidae.